AUUCCUGUUAUAUGAUAAUUAUAUGACAGGUGUGUGUGUGUGUGUGUGUGUGUGUGUGUGUGUGUGUGUGUGUGUGUGUGUGUGUGUGUGUGUGUGUGUGUGUGUGUGUGUGUGUGUGUGUGUGUGUGUGUGCGCGUGUGUGUGUGUGUGUGGACAGAGGAUUUGGCUUAAAGCCAGCCAAAGAUUUAACAUCUGACACAAAGGAUAAUUAAUGUUGAUUAAUCCAAAGCAAUGUGACGUGAAUUUGAAAGAGAUAAUCCUUCGCCAGGAAUGUGUGGGUGUAACGUAAAACAACCCUAAACAAACAGUGUUAUGUGUAUAAAAGCAGACCUGAACUGGACGUAGACAGGACAAGUGCAGGAGAAGCAAAUUAAAUACAAUUCUUCACUUACCUUCUCACUAAUUAUGAAGCUGAUCAUCUCAGUGAUUCUUCUCUGGACCAUCUUCAGCACAGCUGAAGGAAUCUUGUGUAGAGUCUGCACUGAUCGAAAUGAUUCAACAUGUGCUAACGCCGUGACAACAAACUGUUCCGAUACAGAAAAGUGUCUGUCAGCUCGUGUCUCUUAUUCCAAUGGACAGAUCAGACUCUACUAUUCCUGUGGGUCUGAUAAUUUAGACUGUUUACCCGGAAACAAUCGUGAGCUCAACAUAAACUUGGGCGACACAUAUAUCUUUGCAGAAUACAGGUGUUGCUACACUGAUAAUUGCAACACAGACGAGAACUUCUCUAAUAUCAACGUCAACCAACCUUUCAACAAUUUCACAUGCACUGGUUGUAAUUCUGGCACUCCCAACUGUAGUGCAGAAAUUCAAUGCAGAGGACUGGAAAAAACCUGCAUCCGGGCAUUCAUUGAAACCGUUGAUUUAACAUUUCUAUAUACAUAUCAAGGCUGUGGAUCUUCAAACGUGUGUGAGCUCACUAAUGUUUUGUGUACCCUGCCAUUCCUGGAGGAGCACGGAAAAAUCAUUGCACCAGCGACAUGUUCCCCUGCAAUCGCACCAACGACUGCUGCACCAACAACAACAACCACAGCUGCACCUACUACAGAAGAAACCACAACUACUACACCAUGUCCCGUGACACUUCUCAAGCAUUUGGAUGAUUGUUCAGCAUUACUGCGCAAACUGCACCAACUGUCGUGUAAAGUUAAAAGAAAGGUUAUAAACACACAUGCACUGUCGCUGAUUCAUCUUCACCAAGACCUGAUUUCGUACCAAAUGAAGCUGAUAGAGCAACAGAUGAUGCUGACCGAUCAGUACGACUACAAUAUGCCGCUGACGUUCCAGCAGAACAUGGUUCUGAGCCACCAGCAGCUGGUCCUGCACCAGAUUUACCAGCACCUUCAAUCCCAGCAGUUCAUCCCUCACCUCUUCAACCAACAACUGCUGCUCAACCAACUCCAACAACAGCUCCACCUCUACCAACACGGCCUCAUGCUUCACUUCAACAAUGACCCACUGAACAAUUAUUACCUUCACUCACUGCUGCCCACCGACCAAGAGUCACCAGACGAUUACCCACCGUACCAAUAUCCUUAACUCAGGUCCACCUGACACAUCUAUACCAUGAAUUAAUUCAGCUGUGGAAAUGGGAUCAUCUGGGUGAUCAUAUAAUUUAUGAUAUCUAGCUGUUUGUUUUCUGCUUUAUUUUAAUGAUUAUUGCGAGUACAUUUUGUGAUCAUCAUUUCUUAAAAUGACAUUAAGAAAUGUUUAGACCACAAGUGUCAAACUCAAGGCCCGGGGGCCAAAUCCGGCCCUUUUGAGCAUUUGUUCUGGCCGACAGGAGAAAGUCAAAAUGACAGAAAAAGCAUGUAUUAAUGUGUAAAUCACAAAAUAAUUCAGUUGUAGAUAUCUCAGCCCCUCCAACUACAGAUGAAUACAAAUUUCCAAAUUUCCCAGGCUAUAUCACAUAUCAGUCAUUUUUUUACAUCUGAAUUUUUUUUUUUAAAUCCUGCAAAUUUCCUCAAAUGAUUCUACUAAAUUGAAUAACAAUUAUUCAUAAUGUCAAUGAAAUGUAAGUGCAUUUAACUUUAAUGUCACUUAAUUCUUGGAUAUUGUCAAUCUCAUAUAGUUUUUAUGUAACGUAUACCUGGAAGUGCAAACUAGGACACACUAAUGUUGAAACUGUUCUUUUUCCUGCUAAAAUCUGUGGCCUACUUGAGAUCAAACUGGUCUGUAUGUAUGGCCCCUGAACUAAAAUGAGUUUGACACCCCAGGUUUAGCCAAUCAGUAAUGCUUUCUCAUAUUUACA
RNAcentral lists this long non-coding RNA (2251 nucleotides) under Gouania willdenowi (blunt-snouted clingfish). RNAcentral's name for it is "lncRNA (ENSGWIG00000009970.1)". Lineage: Eukaryota; Metazoa; Chordata; Actinopteri; Blenniiformes; Gobiesocidae. The record is from RNAcentral.